Non-coding RNA from Oryza meridionalis, 199 nucleotides. NCBI's taxonomy places the organism in Eukaryota, Viridiplantae, Streptophyta, Magnoliopsida, Poales, Poaceae. The record is from Rfam.
AAUAAGCACAACCAGGAGUUCCGUGUCUAACUUUGAUCGUUCGUCUUAUUUGAAUUUUUUUAUAUUAAUAAUUUUAUUGUUAUUAGAUUAUAAAAAUAUGAAUAGUACUUUAUGUGUGACUUAUUUUUUUAUCUUUUUAAUUUUUUUAAAUAAGAUAAACGAUUAAAGUUGGACGUAUAAACUUAUGGCUGCGUUUACU